Molecule: ribosomal RNA, 465 nt
Filed under: uncultured bacterium
Lineage: Bacteria
Description: partial 16S ribosomal RNA
Rfam family: Bacterial small subunit ribosomal RNA
Source: RNAcentral
GACGAACGCUGGCGGUGUGCUUAACACAUGCAAGUCGAACGGUAAGGCCCUUUCGGGGGUACACGAGUGGCGAACGGGUGAGUAACACGUGAGUAACCUGCCCUCAUCUCUGGGAUAACAGUCGGAAACGGUUGCUAAUACUGGAUAUGAGCUUGCAAGGCAUCUUGUGGGUUGGAAAGAUUUUUUUGGUUGGGGAUGGACUCGCGGCCUAUCAGCUUGUUGGUGAGGUAGUGGCUCACCAAGGCUUCGACGGGUAGCCGGCCUGAGAGGGCGACCGGCCACAUUGGGACUGAGAUACGGCCCAAACUCCUACGGGAGGCAGCAGUGGGGAAUAUUGCACAAUGGACGGAAGUCUGAUGCAGCAACGCCGCGUGCGGGAUGACGGCCUUCGGGUUGUAAACCGCUUUCAAUUGUGACGAAGCUUUUUGUGACGGUAGCAGUAGAAGAAGCACCGGCUAACUACGU